CCUUGGUGAUUUAGUUAAGGGGAAACACCUGUUUCCAUUCCGAAUACAGCAGUUAAGUCCUUAAACACCGAAGAUAGUUUUUAUUUAUAAAAGCAAAAAUAGGGAUUUGCCAAGGA
RNAcentral lists this ribosomal RNA (116 nucleotides) under Candidatus Phytoplasma sacchari. Lineage: Bacteria; Bacillati; Mycoplasmatota; Mollicutes; Acholeplasmatales; Acholeplasmataceae. The record is from RNAcentral.